UCUUUCAUCACUACCAAACUCAUGGAAUAUUACUCAACUGUAUCAUAUGAGCCUUGAUUCUCAACAAUUAAACAUCCAUCCCGACCCUAUCUCAAAAUCAAAACUCAUGUAUCAUCAGAAAUCAAAAGCAAACCCUUCUUCGUUACCCUAGAUCUAGUUUCUUUGCUCCUGAAAUUCAAAUCAGGCCUUCAUCUCAUACUCUAGAAGAUGCAGAGACAUUUAAAGAUGAUGAUAAUGAUAUAUGGUCGAAUUACUUACUUUUUUCUAUUUAGGAUUGAUUAAUCUAAUUCUGAAUGUAGGGUCUGUUCAAAUUUCUGGAAUUUUUACUAAUUUUUAUUAUCAUUUACUUAGAUUUUGCAGACUAAAGAAGAAAUCAAUGGAGUAUUUUGCUAGAUUAGCGAAUAGGUUAUGUUCAAGUUUCAAUUAGCGAAUAGGGUUUUUCUUCUAGACUCUCUUUAUACCAUGUAAUCUAAGCUUUAUUAGAGUACGAUCCGAAAUUGGUUUAGGGUUUUUUUUAUUCUGGAUUUAUUUCAUUUGGAAACCCUAACUUAUGGCAUAAUGGUGGUGGAGUUUGAACUUCAGCCUCCUAUCUUAAUUAGGUAGUUUUCUUUAAGUAUUAAAUUGUGUGAUGUUUAUUUGCUAACUUAUUCUUAGGAUUAACAUGUAUGUAUGGGUUUUUUUCUUCUACAUCUAUCCAAACAAGAAUCUUUUCUCUUGAAGAAUGAAAGAAAAAUAGACUGGUUGAUUCACACUUUGAGUAUGCUAAAUUGUGAUUUUGGAUGAAUAAGCUUGCAUGUAGUUGUUGGACCAUAAAUUUCUGGUUGAGUCAGUUAGAUUGAUAUUGAUAUGGUACCAGGAUAUUAAAUAGUCUCAUCUUACAGAUGAAUUUCUUUCUGACUUUUGUCUAUGCAGAAUUGCGGUGGCAGAACUGGCAUCUUGCUCAAGAAAAUAGUAAGAUGUGUGAAUGAUCAGUUUAUUACCACAUUCCUUCUCAUACAAUUUCAAUUGCUUCAGAAUACUAAAUUAACUCUUUGUUUGAUGUUUGGUGAGAACUGAUUGUGUGUAGAUGAAUAGAGCUUGGGAUGGUCUUGGAGAAGCUCUUGAAGGUUGCAUCAACAAUAAGAUUCAUGGUUCAGGAAUUAAACUAUUGGAUCGUGGAUAUUCAAAAAAUCAGUAUCGAAGGAUGUUAUGAAUGGUGACCUUAUGUAUCCAACAAGUUUGGGAGUGAAACUGUUGGCUGGGAAUGUCUUGGAGACGCACUCUAUGGUGGAUAUGGGCAGGAGAUAACCUUUCCAUUCUCUUGAAUUCAUGAUGUUGUGGAGCUUGAUUUUUUGUAUUCAAGUGAUGGUACCCGUAGAUGGUGGGAUAACGUUUACCGGAUAACUGUUGUAGCUGCUACUUGGGAUCAGACUGCUCUCAUCUUGAGUGUGCCCAAGCGGAAAUCUAGAUGAAACCCAAGAGACCCCAAGGACAUCUGCAUUUCCAAAUACCUAAGCUAAGGCGAUUGACAUCUAUCUAACUAAUUCAGACAUGCUCAUAAUUUGUGUAAUACAGUCUUGUUUAUCAUUUUAUAGGGUCACUUGCAUCAUAAAAUUUUAACAUUCUUAUGUGUCU
This is a long non-coding RNA of Papaver somniferum (opium poppy), 1614 nucleotides long. RefSeq lists it as uncharacterized. The transcript has 4 exons. The record is from RefSeq and is a predicted model, not a curated record. Lineage: Eukaryota; Viridiplantae; Streptophyta; Magnoliopsida; Ranunculales; Papaveraceae.